This 468-nucleotide ribosomal RNA is filed under the name uncultured bacterium. Its description in RNAcentral is "partial 16S ribosomal RNA". It matches the Rfam family "Bacterial small subunit ribosomal RNA", at positions 28 to 507 of the family's 1533-position model. The record is from RNAcentral.
GACGAACGCUGGCGGCGUGCUUAACACAUGCAAGUCGAACGGAAAGGCCCUGCUUUUGUGGGGUGCUCGAGUGGCGAACGGGUGAGUAACACGUGAGUAACCUGCCCUUGACUUUGGGAUAACUUCAGGAAACUGGGGCUAAUACCGGAUAGGAGCUCCUGCUGCACGGUGGGGGUUGGAAAAUUUCGGCGGUUGGGGAUGGACUCGCGGCUUAUCAGCUUGUUGGUGGGGUAGUGGCUUACCAAGGCUUUGACGGGUAGCCGGCCUGAGAGGGUGACCGGCCACAUUGGGACUGAGAUACGGCCCAGACUCCUACGGGAGGCAGCAGUGGGGAAUAUUGCACAAUGGGCGGAAGCCUGAUGCAGCAACGCCGCGUGCGGGAUGACGGCCUUCGGGUUGUAAACCGCUUUCGCCUGUGACGAAGCGUGAGUGACGGUAAUGGGUAAAGAAGCACCGGCUAACUACGUG